RNAcentral lists this non-coding RNA (25 nucleotides) under Cricetulus griseus (Chinese hamster). Lineage: Eukaryota; Metazoa; Chordata; Mammalia; Rodentia; Cricetidae. The record is from RNAcentral.
UAUCAAUGAACUGUGACAGGAAGCU